Molecule: ribosomal RNA, 166 nt
Filed under: uncultured Actinomycetes bacterium
Lineage: Bacteria; Bacillati; Actinomycetota; Actinomycetes
Description: uncultured actinobacterium partial 16S ribosomal RNA
Rfam family: Bacterial small subunit ribosomal RNA
Source: RNAcentral
CGGAGGAAGGUGGGGAUGACGUCAAGUCAUCAUGCCCCUUAUGUCCAGGGCUUCACGCAUGCCACAAUGGCCGGUACAAUGGGCUGCGAUACCGUGAGGUGGAGCGAAUCCCAAAAAACCGGUCUCAGUUCGGAUUGGGGUCUGCAACUCGACCCCAUGAAGUCGG